UUUUAAUAGAUGGCACUACAUUUUUCUCUCAGUGUACUGCAUGCAAGCUGAUAGAAACUAUCACAGUUGAAGCAAAAUCGAUACAUAAAGGAGUUCACUUAUGUGUUUGACUUAAAAAUAGUUCAAGUACUUAAAGGGCUAUUAUUGAAAAAGUUAUUAUUAAACAGAAUAUUUCUACCGUAAAAUACUCACAAUGGAGUUCACUAUUUUGUGGAUCAAUGUCAUUAGUUUAUUGUUAUAUUCCUCCAAUUCAAAUAAUGUAUUUGCACUACUGUCGUCAAAUCUGAAUAAUAAAUCAAUGGAAUUGGACACCACAUUCGAUUGUUAUGUAUCACUUCAAAAUAAACAUGGUCACU
Molecule: long non-coding RNA, 356 nt
Organism: Copidosoma floridanum
Lineage: Eukaryota; Metazoa; Arthropoda; Insecta; Hymenoptera; Encyrtidae
Source: RefSeq, a predicted model, not a curated record